This is a microRNA precursor of Bison bison bison, 76 nucleotides long. Ensembl annotates it as microRNA 100. Its record names the gene MIR100. Lineage: Eukaryota; Metazoa; Chordata; Mammalia; Artiodactyla; Bovidae. The record is from Ensembl.
CCUGUUGCCACAAACCCGUAGAUCCGAACUUGUGGUGGUAGUGCACACAAGCUUGUGUCUAUAGGUAUGUGUCUGU